RNAcentral lists this long non-coding RNA (392 nucleotides) under Neogobius melanostomus (round goby). RNAcentral's name for it is "lncRNA (ENSNMLG00000007147.1)". The record is from RNAcentral. Lineage: Eukaryota; Metazoa; Chordata; Actinopteri; Gobiiformes; Gobiidae.
CAUACAGUCUUCUCUCUGUCGAACAUUCCAACAUGAGUGACUCUGAGGGGAAACAUGGCGGUGAAACUGAAGCGGAGACCAGAGAAAAAGAGACUCUGAAGAGGCUCCUCUCUGAAGACGACCCUGAACCUGGACCCUCAAAACCCAAGCCUCUGAAGCGAAGAAAGAAGAAGAAGUCUCCUCCAUCUGAAUGUGCUGUUUGUCAAAGCGACCUGAAGGGGGCAGUGUCUCUCCGCUGUGGACACCGCAUCUGUGAGAUAUGCUUCAGUUUACUCCGAGAGAAGUCUGGGGAUGUGCCCUGUCCAAACUGUGGUCCUAAAGAGGCUUUAGCUGAAUACAAAGAAAGUCUAAAGACAAAGUGUGGAAGAGUGUGUGAAGGAAGUGACUCAGGG